UACAGAGGCCUCGAGCGUUGUUCGGAAUUACUGGGCGUAAAGGGAAUGUAGGUGGUGACGUAAGUCAGAUGUGAAAGCCCUGGGCUUAACCUGGGAAGUGCAUUUGAUACUGCGUUGCUUGAGUACGAGAGAGGAAAGCGGAAUUCCAAGUGUAGGAGUGAAAUCCGUAGAUAGUUGGAGGAAUACCGAUGGCGAAGGCAGCUUUCUGGCUCGUAACUGACACUGAGAUUCGAAAGCGUGGGUAGCAAACAGG
Molecule: ribosomal RNA, 253 nt
Filed under: uncultured bacterium
Lineage: Bacteria
Description: partial 16S ribosomal RNA
Rfam family: Bacterial small subunit ribosomal RNA
Source: RNAcentral